GUGACUAUGUGGUGUAGUUAAAGUCUAGAAAUUACAAAUGUUUUGUGGCCAACACGAAACUUAUCUGUGAGUCAUUGCCUGGGGGGCUUACUUGGACAAGGGCUGAGAGAAUUACCAGUAGCUUGAACAGCUUAAGGGCGGGACCAAGUACAGAAUGAAGCUCAGACUCUGAAGAAUUUGCACUACUAAGGUGUGUACACAACAUGAAGGUGGCCAUCUGCAAGCCAAAAAGAGAGCCUUUACCAGAACCUGACCAUUGCUGGCACCCCAAUCCUGGAUGAUCCAGCCUCUAGAACUAUGAGAAAUAAAUUUCUGCUGUUCAAGCAACCCAGUCUAAGAUAUUUUUGUUGUAGCAGCCUGAACUGCCUAAAG
Molecule: long non-coding RNA, 372 nt
Filed under: Homo sapiens (human)
Lineage: Eukaryota; Metazoa; Chordata; Mammalia; Primates; Hominidae
Description: HSALNT0319012
Source: RNAcentral